UACGGAGGGUGCAAGCAUUGAUCGGAAUUACUGGGCGUAAAGGGCGCGUAGGCGGUUAAAUAAGUCAGAUGUGAAAUUCCGGGGCUCAACCCCGGAGCUGCAUUUGAAACUGUAUAGCUAGAGUUCAGUUAGGGUAAACGGAAUUCCACGUGUAGCGGUGAAAUGCGUAGAUAUGUGGAAGAACACCGGUGGUGAAGACGGUUUACUGGGCUGAUACUGACGCUGAGGCGCGAAAGCAUGGGGAGCAAACAGG
This 253-nucleotide ribosomal RNA is filed under the name uncultured bacterium. Its description in RNAcentral is "partial 16S ribosomal RNA". It matches the Rfam family "Bacterial small subunit ribosomal RNA", at positions 524 to 776 of the family's 1533-position model. The record is from RNAcentral.